This 468-nucleotide ribosomal RNA is filed under the name uncultured bacterium. RNAcentral describes it as "partial 16S ribosomal RNA". It matches the Rfam family "Bacterial small subunit ribosomal RNA", at positions 28 to 507 of the family's 1533-position model. The record is from RNAcentral.
GACGAACGCUGGCGGCGUGCUUAACACAUGCAAGUCGAACGGAAAGGCCCUGCUUUUGUGGGGUGCUCGAGUGGCGAACGGGUGAGUAACACGUGAGUAACCUGCCCUUGACUUUGGGAUAACUUCAGGAAACUGGGGCUAAUACCGGAUAGGAGCUCCUGCUGCAUGGUGGGGGUUGGAAAGUUUCGGCGGUUGGGGAUGGACUCGCGGCUUAUCAGCUUGUUGGUGGGGUAGUGGCUUACCAAGGCUUUGACGGGUAGCCGGCCUGAGAGGGUGACCGGCCACAUUGGGACUGAGAGACGGCCCAGACUCCUACGGGAGGCAGCAGUGGGGAAUAUUGCACAGUGGGCGGAAGCCUGAUGCAGCAACGCCGCGUGCGGGAUGACGGCCUUCGGGUUGUAAACCACUUUCGCCUGUGACGAAGCGUGAGUGACGGUAAUGGGUAAAGAAGCACCGGCUAACUACGUG